AGCAUCUUAGCUAAGUGGAAUAGCGCCAGGCUCAUAUGGCAAUCACAUUCAAAUGUGAUUCGCCAGUGCGACCUGGAGGUCACAAGAUCGAAACUUGUAGAUGCUA
Non-coding RNA from Truncatella angustata, 106 nucleotides. NCBI's taxonomy places the organism in Eukaryota, Fungi, Ascomycota, Sordariomycetes, Amphisphaeriales, Sporocadaceae. The record is from the annotation of a RefSeq genome assembly.